Molecule: small RNA, 27 nt
Filed under: Bombyx mori (domestic silkworm)
Lineage: Eukaryota; Metazoa; Arthropoda; Insecta; Lepidoptera; Bombycidae
Description: ovarian small RNA-23509
Source: RNAcentral
UAUCACUGGCUAGAGCGCGUCGAGACG